GACGAACGCUGGCGGCGUGCCUAAUACAUGCAAGUUGAGCGCUGAAGGUUGGUACUUGUCCCAACUGGAUGAGCAGCGAACGGGUGAGUAACGCGUGGGGAAUCUGCCUUUGAGCGGGGGACAACAUUUGGAAACGAAUGCUAAUACCGCAUAAAAACUUUAAACACAAGUUUUAAGUUUGAGAGAUGCAAUUGCAUCACUCAAAGAUGAUCCCGCGUUGUAUUAGCUAGUUGGUGAGGUAAAGGCUCACCAAGGCGAUGAUACAUAGCCGACCUGAGAGGGUGAUCGGCCACACUGGGACUGAGACACGGCCCAAACUCCUACGGGAGGCAGCAGUAGGGAAUCUUCGGCAAUGGACGAAAGUCUGACCGAGCAACGCCGCGUGAGUGAAGAAGGUUUUCGGAUCGUAAAACUCUGUUGGUAGAGAAGAACGUUGGUGAGAGUGGAAAGCUCAUCAAGUGACGGUAACUACCCAGAAAGGGACGGCUAACUACGUG
This 497-nucleotide ribosomal RNA is filed under the name uncultured bacterium. RNAcentral's name for it is "partial 16S ribosomal RNA". It matches the Rfam family "Bacterial small subunit ribosomal RNA", at positions 28 to 507 of the family's 1533-position model. The record is from RNAcentral.